RNAcentral lists this unclassified non-coding RNA (1200 nucleotides) under Hevea brasiliensis (rubber tree). The record is from RNAcentral. Lineage: Eukaryota; Viridiplantae; Streptophyta; Magnoliopsida; Malpighiales; Euphorbiaceae.
AGAAAGUUGCAUAUUUCUUCAGUGCAUUAAAAUCUACCAGAGACUCGUGGACUAUGAGUCACAAGUGUUUGGCCAAAUAUGGUUAUGAUAAAUUUAGUAAAAUGGGCAGCACAAAUAUAGAGCAACUCGGUAUGCAAUUUCCUUCUCUUAGCUCUUAUUAAUCUAAUGUGUUCCUUGUUCUUGAUUGAAGCUCACUGUAUUUUAUUUUUCUUUGUUGAAGUUGAUAUGGUAGUGUUUGCAACACUUGACUCUGUGAUUAAGGCAGCAGCAGAACUGUUUGAUAGGCUAGAAGAUGAAGGGUUGAAUGAAGACCACAGCCAACAAGCCAGCAAAUCAACAGAGUCCUAUACCAGCAACAAAUCUAUUUCUCUUGCUGUCAAAAAUGAUGCUCGUACUGGAGUAACUCCAAAUAUUUCCAAGUCUCCACCUGGUCAUCCGUCUCCUGGAGUUCAGUUUUGUCAGAACUCUAGCACCUUGAAACAAAAGAAUGAAACAGUCGAGAAACUGAAGCCACAGAGCAAAGAAGAAGUGAGAGCAGCAAACACUGGCAUAAUUGAAUGUCACUUGCAGACAAGCAAAAACACGAAGGUUCCAUUGCCAAAUGUGAAUGAGAAUGAUCAUGAGAAACAACAAGAUACAACCGGUGAAACUGACAUCCCAAAAAGUGCUCCUCCACUGCCAGCCCCGCUUUCCAAAGAAUUAUUGCAAUCACCACCACCACCACCUGUCAUGCCUACAAAAGGAUCAAUGCCAACUGCAAUGCCACUCAAAAAGGGUCCUGGACCCCCUCCGCCUCCACCUUUUGCUGGUAAAUCCCUGCUUCAAAGGAAACCGAUUACUAAAUUGAAGAGAUCCACCCAGAUGCCCAACCUGUUUCAAAAACUCAAGAACAAGAUGGAAGGAUCUAACCAUACUAUUAAAUCAUCUAAUGUGAGAAAGACACAACUUGGAGGUUCUAGCGGUGGAAGGGAAGGACUGUCUGCCACAAUAGCAGAAAUGACAAAAAGGUUGCUUCUAUCAAUAUCAUUUACUGUAGGAAAACAUUCCAUAUAGAAGCAAUAAAACUUGAAAAAUAUUAGCAGAUAAUAAUGAUUUUCUAAUUUUCCCUUUCCGGUAGCUUAGAUCAACAUACUUUCUACAAAUUCAAGAAGAUAUUCAGAAGCAUGCAAAAUCGAUCCUUGAGUUAAAGGUAGCCAUCAA